Molecule: ribosomal RNA, 507 nt
Filed under: uncultured bacterium
Lineage: Bacteria
Description: bacterial SSU rRNA
Rfam family: Bacterial small subunit ribosomal RNA
Source: RNAcentral
UGAGUAAUGUCUGGGAAACUGCCCGAUGGAGGGGGAUAACUACUGGAAACGGUAGCUAAUACCGCAUAACGUCUUCGGACCAAAGUGGGGGGACCUCGGGGCCUCACACCAUCGGAUGUGCCCAGAUGGGAUUAGCUAGUAGGUGGGGUAAUGGCUCACCUAGGCGACGAUCCCUUACCUGGUCUGGAGAGGAUGACCAGCCACACUGGAACUGAGACACGGUCCAGACUCCUACGGGAGGCAGCAGUGGGGAAUAUUGCACAAUGGGCGCAAGCCUGAUGCAGCCAUGCCGCGUGUAUGAAGAAGGCCUUCGGGUUGUAAAGUACUUUCAGUGGGGAGGAAGGCGUUAAGGUUAAUAACCUUGGCGAUUGACGUUACCCGCAGAAGAAGCACCGGCUAACUCCGUGCCAGCAGCCGCGGUAAUACGGAGGGUGCAAGCGUUAAUCGGAAUUACUGGGCGUAAAGCGCACGCAGGCGGUCUGUCAAGUCGGAUGUGAAAUCCCCGGG